This is a non-coding RNA of Cinara cedri, 1705 nucleotides long. The record is from the annotation of a GenBank genome assembly. Lineage: Eukaryota; Metazoa; Arthropoda; Insecta; Hemiptera; Aphididae.
CUUUUGGGCGUUUGAAAAAAAUCAUAACACGACCGAAAUGCGUAGACGAAUCGCUAGAAGAUCUAGCAGCACUCGCCUGGCCGCCGGAUGAAGCAGAGGAAAAGAACAGGUGGGAAAGAACAAACCGAUCGGGCCGUCAGCUGUCACCGACGGCUGUUUACGUUGCUCCGUGUUUUCCAUAUCCGUACCGGUGAAAUCCCCGAAAACAUUGUCUCCGACAAAUUUUAAAAUACGGAGAAACGGACCGCGCGGAUACGGAACGGACAUGCCCAUUUCGUAACGAGUAAACAAACUUUAAACGUCGGACACGGAACGGAUGUGUGUAAACAGACCUUUAUUGUUUUGCGCUUUUGUGUACCGGCGUUUUGAGAAAUUUGAACGCACAGUUCUCAUAGUACAUUUAGGAACUUUUUUUUUAUAGUUUUGUUUUUUCGGGUUCCGAUUCUCUACGUCGUAAGCGGAGUGUUUUGGGUACGGUUUUUUUCAAUGAUACAGACUAACGCACGAUUCCCGAAUGAAACGAUCGCCGAACAUGUAUCCUGUGUCUCGCGGUAAAAUACCCAAAGAAUCGGUUUUCAAAACUGAAUUCCGUCAAACGCGAUAUUCCUUCGUGUCGCGUCCGGCUUUUCGCGGCGUCUUUCCGCGCGCCCGACACCCGUUUCGCCGACAAACAGAACCGGUUUUAUAAGCAUAUCGAAAGUCUUCCCGUUCGCCGACGCGUAAAUCGGUUUUUUAUUGCUAUCACGAACCGAAAUAUUAUUGUUGUCGCAGCGAAACGAUUGUUACGUGAGAAAUUCCAGCGCCGGUAAUCGCGGCACGAGCGGUACAUAAAGCGUAUAAAUUCGGUAUUAUCGGAAAUACGAAAACUGUCGACAAUAACAAUAGGUAAUCGACGACGGGAGAAACGUCGAAAAUGAUUUUUCCUGUUAUUUUCGUUUGUUUAACGUCGGCGGUACAGUCUUGCAGUUUAGUACAGCAGCGACGGCGUGCGAUUGUUUUCAAUAUGUUUCUGGUUUUUUAAACUAUCGACUUUACAACGGAAUCAUAUUUCAUUUUGGAUUCGAGUUAUUCAAGUAGUUCAAGAAAACCGAGUGCAAUCCCUGCAUUGAACAACAGCGGAAGCGUGUUAUUUUAACACGAACUAUUGUGACGAUGAGGUCAUCGUGAGUAGGCGCACUUCAAGGCCGUUAUUGGCCGACCUUUUCGACGACCCGAUUGAACACGAUAAAAUAAAUAAACGUUGUCAGAUUGUCACUAGUACGUACGUUGUAUAGAUUGCCGACUGUAGGUAACUAACAUACUGGUGGAAAAAGAUUUCGUUACCGAUCGAUGGGUACCCACGGAAGUUGAAAAUAAAUGGAAUAGAAAAAAAAAACCAGAAUUUUAUCUACAACGGUUCCACUAAAUUGUGAUUAACUGUUAUCGUAUUUACCUACGCUGUAAAUAAGACUCGGUCACGUUCGGUCUGUUCUGUCGUCCCGCGCUCGUGUUCCUACAAAAAUAGCGUGUAUUUUGCAAAUAAUACGAUUUUUAUGAUGGGAAAUAUCGAAUACAAACUAUUUUAUCCGAGAGAGGCACAGUUGGCAAAUGUUGGAGCUUUCAAGAAAUGUUAAUUGUUGAAAUUGGCGAUGUAUAAAAAAUGAUAUUUUUUUUUUAUAUAUAUAUUUGGUAUUUACGGGAAUAAAUUUUAAUUGUAAUGUACACU